CAAGAUGCUCCAACACAUCGCUCACACCACCAACAUUUCCAUUGUGCUUCCCAUCAUCAGUAGUGCCUUUACAACAAUAAAAAGUGGGCAGGGCAAUGAUGGCGGAGUUGUUGAACCUGGUGCAGCCCUUGUUGGAGGUGCCCAUGGUGCUGCUGCUGCGGACGGUGGAAUGGCCAUGUCAGCUAUGCGAGAGGACGUUUCAGGCAUAGAGGUGCGGUCAAGGCCAUAGUUCUCUUGUUGUUGCGCCCCCACCCCCCAAUGUUAUGAGCCCUCGGUAGACCUAAUGCUGGUGGAUGCGGGGGUUGGGGCUGCACUCUUUGCUCCGUCCUCUUUCCCAUCCUCCCGCAAUUACUUCGACGAUCAGUAACCAGU
This 372-nucleotide long non-coding RNA is filed under the name Elaeis guineensis (African oil palm). Its description in RNAcentral is "long non-coding RNA (EGUI_LNC006580)". Lineage: Eukaryota; Viridiplantae; Streptophyta; Magnoliopsida; Arecales; Arecaceae. The record is from RNAcentral.